Molecule: non-coding RNA, 96 nt
Organism: Lasiosphaeria ovina
Lineage: Eukaryota; Fungi; Ascomycota; Sordariomycetes; Sordariales; Lasiosphaeriaceae
Source: the annotation of a GenBank genome assembly
GUCCGGCUGGCGCAAUGGUAGCGCGCAAGACUUCUACCAUUGGAUGUUUUAUAACACUGAAUCUUGAGGCUGUGGGUUCGAGUCCCACGUCGGAUG